RNAcentral lists this ribosomal RNA (221 nucleotides) under Cordyceps militaris. Its description in RNAcentral is "5.8S ribosomal RNA". The stretch from base 1 to 154 matches the Rfam family "5.8S ribosomal RNA". Rfam says of the family: 5.8S ribosomal RNA (5.8S rRNA) is a component of the large subunit of the eukaryotic ribosome. It is transcribed by RNA polymerase I as part of the 45S precursor that also contains 18S and 28S rRNA. The record is from RNAcentral. Lineage: Eukaryota; Fungi; Ascomycota; Sordariomycetes; Hypocreales; Cordycipitaceae.
AACUUUCAACAACGGAUCUCUGGGCUCUGGCAUCGAUUAAGAACGCAGCGAAAUGCGAUAAGUAAUGUGAAUUGCAGAAUUCAGUGAAUCAUCGAAUCUUUGAACGCACAUUGCGCCCGCCAGCAUUCUGGCGGGCAUGCCUGUUCGAGCGUCAUUUCAACCCUCGACUUCCCCUGGGGGAUGUCGGCGUUGGGGACCGGCAGCACACCGCCGCCCCCGAA